CGUGAAGUCGGAAUCGCUAGUAAUCGCGGAUCAGCAUGCCGCGGUGAAUACGUUCCCGGGCCUUGUACACACCGCCCGUCACACCAUGAGAGUCGGGAACACCCGAAGUCCGUAGCCUAACCGCGAAGGGGGGCGCGGCCGAAGGUGGGUUCGAUAAUUGGGGUGAAGUCGUAACAAGGUAAC
RNAcentral lists this ribosomal RNA (183 nucleotides) under uncultured bacterium. RNAcentral's name for it is "partial 16S ribosomal RNA". It matches the Rfam family "Bacterial small subunit ribosomal RNA", at positions 1319 to 1500 of the family's 1533-position model. The record is from RNAcentral.